This 434-nucleotide ribosomal RNA is filed under the name uncultured crenarchaeote. RNAcentral describes it as "partial 16S ribosomal RNA". It matches the Rfam family "Archaeal small subunit ribosomal RNA", at positions 30 to 424 of the family's 1478-position model. Lineage: Archaea; Thermoproteati; Thermoproteota. The record is from RNAcentral.
GGGGGCCACGAAAAUUAGAGGGGGGGGAAUACACACAAGGGGUAUGUUCCCAGACACCCAGGGGGGCGGGGGGCAGUGCUCUAUAACACGUGCUCACUCUCCCCCUGAGAGGGGGAGAUACCCUGGGGAAAUGGGGGUUAUAUCCCCAUAGGUGAGGAGUCCUUGAAUGGGUUCUCUCUGCAAAGGAUUAUAUAGCCAUGUUUCUUGGCGUCGCUCGAGGAUGGGGCUGCGGCCGAUCAGGUAGUUGGUGAGGUAACGGCUCACCAAGCCUAUAACCGGUACGGGCCGUGAGAGAGGGAGCCCGGAGAUGGACACUGAGACAAGGGUCCAGGCCCUACGGGGCGCAGCAGGCGCGAAACCUCCCCAAUGCGCGAAAGCGUGACGGGGACUGCCCGAGUGCCUUCCGCUGAGGAUGGCUUUUCCCCAGUGUAGAG